UACGAAGGGGGCUAGCGUUGUUCGGAUUUACUGGGCGUAAAGCGCACGUAGGCGGAUUAUUAAGUCGGGGGUGAAAUCCUGGAGCUCAACUCCAGAAUUGCCUUCGAUACUGGCUUUCUAGAGGCUGGAAGAGGUUAGUGGAAUUCCCAGUGUAGAGGUGAAAUUCGUAGAUAUUGGGAAGAACACCAGUGGCGAAGGCGGCUAACUGGUCCAGAUCUGACGCUGAGGUGCGAAAGCGUGGGGAGCAAACAGG
This 253-nucleotide ribosomal RNA is filed under the name uncultured bacterium. RNAcentral describes it as "partial 16S ribosomal RNA". It matches the Rfam family "Bacterial small subunit ribosomal RNA", at positions 524 to 776 of the family's 1533-position model. The record is from RNAcentral.